Molecule: long non-coding RNA, 829 nt
Filed under: Olea europaea subsp. europaea
Lineage: Eukaryota; Viridiplantae; Streptophyta; Magnoliopsida; Lamiales; Oleaceae
Source: RNAcentral
UAACCGUCCAUUUUAUCAAUUAUGGAAAAUGACGCAUAAUAUAUAAUUUAUUGGUGACCAAAAGCGCAAGUUUCCUCUCUCAAUUAUUCUCGGAUCCGAAGCAGAAGAGAGCUCCUCACUCUACCAUUGAGCUAAAAAGGUCUUAGAAUUUUACGAUUCCUGAUUAAUUUUAAAUUUUUAAUCGGCGACCCUUAUUUCGAUCAUUAAUUCAGAUCGAUCCAACUCAAUUCGCUGAACUGCGGAAAAAAUCGGGAAAAGAAAAGCUUAUUUUAAGAAAAAAUGGUGUCGGCAAAUAGUGAAAUGGCAGUUUACUGCUUUGACACGCUGGUGGCUCACUACAACAGCGAACAAGCUCCUCAUCCUGCCUUCGAUGAGGGUCAACAGUACGAUAUUUGUCUAUUACGUUGGAUUAUUAUUGGGUUUUUCUUAUUUACUUAAUUUUUUGAUGUUAUUACUAUUUUUGCACAUACUCUUUCUGAAUUUUUAUUGGAAUAUAAUUGAUCGAUUAUUUAUAUGAUUACGUUUUUACAUUUUUUUAUUGCUUUUUUCUCCGUUCAUAGUUACUGUAAAAAAAGAAAAUUUGCAUGCAAAAUUUUAUUUAUUUGAUUUCUUUUCUGGAUUGUUUGUGUUGAUGGAUGAAUUUUAUUGUGCAUUGUGUUUACUUAGUUAUCUCCAUUACAUUACGGAAGUUUUCUCAAAAGCAGAUUUCUUUUUUGUUUCUUUUAAUCUUUUAAUUGGAGGAUAGCAAUUUUCUGGGGGAAAAAAUGAAUUUUGGGGUUGAAUAUAAGAUAUCUAUUUUUGGCUUAAAUUUUCUCUUAAUGGUGUGAAG